AACGAACGCUGGCGGCAUGCCUAACACAUGCAAGUCGAACGAGACCUUCGGGUCUAGUGGCGCACGGUGCGUAACGCGUGGGAACCUGCCUUUAGGUUCGGAAUAACUCAGAGAAAUUUGAGCUAAUACCGGAUGAUGUCUUCGGACCAAAGAUUUAUCGCCUUUAGAUGGGCCCGCGUUGGAUUAGCUUGUUGGUGAGG
This 200-nucleotide ribosomal RNA is filed under the name uncultured bacterium. Its description in RNAcentral is "partial 16S ribosomal RNA". It matches the Rfam family "Bacterial small subunit ribosomal RNA", at positions 29 to 257 of the family's 1533-position model. The record is from RNAcentral.